This 557-nucleotide ribosomal RNA is filed under the name uncultured bacterium. Its description in RNAcentral is "bacterial SSU rRNA". It matches the Rfam family "Bacterial small subunit ribosomal RNA", at positions 102 to 694 of the family's 1533-position model. The record is from RNAcentral.
ACGGGUGAGUAACGCGUGGGAACGUGCCUUCUGGUUCGGAAUAACUCAGGGAAACUUGAGCUAAUACCGGAUACGCCCUUUUGGGGAAAGGUUUACUGCCGGAAGAUCGGCCCGCGUCUGAUUAGCUAGUUGGUGGGGUAACGGCCUACCAAGGCGACGAUCAGUAGCUGGUCUGAGAGGAUGAUCAGCCACACUGGGACUGAGACACGGCCCAGACUCCUACGGGAGGCAGCAGUGGGGAAUAUUGGACAAUGGGCGCAAGCCUGAUCCAGCCAUGCCGCGUGAGUGAUGAAGGCCUUAGGGUUGUAAAGCUCUUUUAUCCGGGACGAUAAUGACGGUACCGGAGGAAUAAGCCCCGGCUAACUUCGUGCCAGCAGCCGCGGUAACACGAAGGGGGCUAGCGUUGCUCGGAAUCACUGGGCGUAAAGGGCGCGUAGGCGGUCUUUUAAGUCGGGGGUGAAAGCCUGUGGCUCAACCACAGAAUUGCCUUCGAUACUGGGAGACUUGAGUUCGGAAGAGGUUGGUGGAACUGCGAGUGUAGAGGUGAAAUUCGUAGA